GAAUAUUGGACAAUGGGGGGAACCCUGAUCCAGCCAUGCCGCGUGUGUUAAGAAGGCCUUUUGGUUGUAAAGCACUUUAAGCGAGGAGGAGGCUCCUCUAGUUAAUACCUAGGCCUAGUGGACUUUACUCGCAGAAUACGCCCCGGCUCACUCUGUGCCCUCAGCCGCGGUAAUACAGAGGGUGCAAGCGUUAAUCGGAUUUACGGGGCGUGAAGGGGGCGUAGGUGGCCAAUUAAGUCAAAUGUGAAAGCCCGGAGCGUAACGGGGGAAUUGCAUUCGAGACGGGGUGGAUAGAGGAUGGGAGAGGAGGGUAGAAUUCCAGGUGUAGAGGUGAAAGGCGUAGAGAUCUGGAGGAAUACCGAUGGCGAAGGCAGCCAUCUGGCCUAAUACUGACACUGAGGUGCGAAAGCAUGGGGAGCAAACA
RNAcentral lists this ribosomal RNA (424 nucleotides) under uncultured bacterium. Its description in RNAcentral is "partial 16S ribosomal RNA". It matches the Rfam family "Bacterial small subunit ribosomal RNA", at positions 359 to 774 of the family's 1533-position model. The record is from RNAcentral.